Molecule: transfer RNA, 85 nt
Filed under: Acidobacteriaceae bacterium
Lineage: Bacteria; Pseudomonadati; Acidobacteriota; Terriglobia; Terriglobales; Acidobacteriaceae
Also listed under: 2 other names
Description: tRNA-Leu
Rfam family: tRNA
About the family: Transfer RNA (tRNA) molecules are approximately 80 nucleotides in length.
Source: RNAcentral
GCCGGGAUGGCGGAAUUGGCAGACGCGCACGGCUUAGGACCGUGUGCCGAAAGGCGUGCAGGUUCAAGUCCUGUUCCCGGCACCA